Molecule: ribosomal RNA, 484 nt
Filed under: uncultured bacterium
Lineage: Bacteria
Description: bacterial SSU rRNA
Rfam family: Bacterial small subunit ribosomal RNA
Source: RNAcentral
ACAGCAGUGGGGAAUAUUGGACAAUGGGGGCAACCCUGAUCCAGCAAUGCCGCGUGAGUGAAGAAGGCCUUAGGGUUGUAAAGCUCUUUCACCCGUGAAGAUGAUGACGGUAGCGGGAGAAGAAGCCCCGGCUAAUUCCGUGCCAGCAGCCGCGGUAAUACGGAAGGGGCUAGCGUUGUUCGGAAUUACUGGGCGUAAAGAGCGCGUAGGCGGCUCUUCAAGUUAGGCGUGAAAGGCCUGGGCUCAACCUGGGAACUGCGUUUAAUACUGGAGAGCUUGAGUCCGGGAGAGGGUGGUGGAAUUCCCAGUGUAGAGGUGAAAUUCGUAGAUAUUGGGAGGAACACCAGUGGCGAAGGCGGCCACCUGGCCCGGAACUGACGCUGAGGCGCGAAAGCGUGGGGAGCAAACAGGAUUAGAUACCCUGGUAGUCCACGCCGUAAACGAUGAGUGCUAGAUGUCGGGGAGCUUGCUCUUCGGUGUCGCA